RNAcentral lists this non-coding RNA (27 nucleotides) under Homo sapiens (human). Lineage: Eukaryota; Metazoa; Chordata; Mammalia; Primates; Hominidae. The record is from RNAcentral.
UGUCCACGUAAUAGAAGGAGAUGGGCU